AGUCAGAUCUGAAUUUCAACCCUGGGUCUGUUACUCUCUUUCUGUGUGAUGCUGGAUCCCUCACGCCAGCAGAGCCCAGCGACAUCAGAAAGGACCAGAGGGAGUCAGCCCAUCUUGCAUCCCCACUACCAGUGACUUACACGGCAUCUGCCUUCCUCCCCACUCUCUUCUCUGCGGUAUUUCGACAAAUAUGUGCUGUUUGGUCGCUUUUACAACACUUUCAUUGGGCUCAUCACCCUCAAUCCUCUGGUUUGACAACAUCAUGAAGAGUCAAUGGGAAAAAUCUGUAGAGGCCCUCCAACUACCGUGACCAAAAGCAUUUCUAUUGGUCCCUCUAAAUCUCAGAUCUGCCUAUUUUGGAACUCAUAAACUCUCACCCUUUGUGAUGGUCACAGGGCACCCAAUGAACUUGGCUCCUGCUUCUUUUGACCCACGACUGAUAAAGGAGAACUAUUCCAAUGUUGCAAAGGCCCUAAUUGUUUCUAUUAAAAAUAA
Molecule: long non-coding RNA, 495 nt
Organism: Eubalaena glacialis (North Atlantic right whale)
Lineage: Eukaryota; Metazoa; Chordata; Mammalia; Artiodactyla; Balaenidae
Exons: 3
Source: RefSeq, a predicted model, not a curated record